AAAAUGUUAGGCUUAGUUGUGCGCGUUAGAGUUAGCUUUGAAAAUGUUAGGCUUCUCAAGUUAUUAAGAGGGAAAGAAGAAUAGAAGCAAAAGAAAAGAGAAAAUGUUUAUUUUUAUUUUUAUUAAUGUGCGAAGAAAGGAUCUAAACCUAUUUUUUUUAUUAAUGUGUCUGACAAGAUUUACAAAUCCUUCUCCUACGUAUCUCCGAGUGCAAU
Molecule: long non-coding RNA, 215 nt
Filed under: Lathyrus oleraceus (garden pea)
Lineage: Eukaryota; Viridiplantae; Streptophyta; Magnoliopsida; Fabales; Fabaceae
Description: Pisum sativum (pea) long non-coding RNA (PSAT_LNC027635)
Source: RNAcentral